This 31-nucleotide non-coding RNA is filed under the name Rattus norvegicus (Norway rat). The record is from RNAcentral. Lineage: Eukaryota; Metazoa; Chordata; Mammalia; Rodentia; Muridae.
UACAAUGUUCUUGUGUGCCAUUAGUCACAGU